GACGAACGCUGGCGGCGUGCUUAACACAUGCCAGUCGAACGGAAAGGCCCUGCUUUUGUGGGGUGCUCGAGUGGCGAACGGGUGAGUAACACGUGAGUAACCUGCCCUUGACUUUGGGAUAACUUCAGGAAACUGGGGCUAAUACCGGAUAGGAGCUCCUGCUGCAUGGGGGGGGUUGGAAAGUUUCGGCGGUUGGGGCUGGACUGGCGGCUUAUCAGCUUGUUGGUGGGGUAGUGGCUUACCAAGGCUUUGACGGGUAGCCGGCCUGAGAGGGUGACCGGCCACAUGAGGACUACGGUACGGCGCAGACUCCUAUGGGAGGCAGCAGUGGGAAAUAUUACACAAUGGGCGGAAGCCUGAUGCAGCGACGCCGCGUGCGUGAUGACGGCCUUCUGGUUAUAAACCGCUUUCGCCUGUGACGAAGCGUGAGUGACGGUAAUGGGUAAAGAAGCACCGGCUAACUACGUG
Molecule: ribosomal RNA, 468 nt
Filed under: uncultured bacterium
Lineage: Bacteria
Description: partial 16S ribosomal RNA
Rfam family: Bacterial small subunit ribosomal RNA
Source: RNAcentral